AGAGUUUGAUCCUGGCUCAGGACGAACGCUGGCGGCGUGCCUAAUGCAUGCAAGUCGCACGCGCCACCUUCGGGUGGUGAGUGGCGCACGGCUGAGGAACACGUGGGAACAUGGCUCCUGGUGGGGGACAACAGCGCGAAAGCGCUGCUAAUCCCGCAUCCGCUCGUGAAAACGAGGAAAGCGUGCAAACGCGCCGGGAGGGUGGCCCGCGGCCCAUCAGGUCGUCGGUGGGGUAACGGCCUACCGAGCCGAUGACGGGUAGCUGGUCUGUGAGGACAACCAGCCAGACUGGGACUGAGACACGGCCCAGACUCCUACGGGAGGCAGCAGCAAGGAAUUUUCGUCAAUGGGCGCAAGCCUGAACGAGCAACGCCGCGUGGAGGAUGACGGCCUUCGGGUUGUAAACUCCUUUUGCGGGGGACGAUGAUGACGGUACCCCGCGAAUAAGGCUCGGCUAACUCUGUGCCAGCAGCCGCGGUAAUAC
This 484-nucleotide ribosomal RNA is filed under the name uncultured bacterium. RNAcentral's name for it is "bacterial SSU rRNA". It matches the Rfam family "Bacterial small subunit ribosomal RNA", at positions 8 to 526 of the family's 1533-position model. The record is from RNAcentral.